CCUACGGGGGGCAGCAGUGAGGAAUAUUGGUCAAUGGACGAGAGUCUGAACCAGCCAAGUAGCGUGAAGGAUGACUGCCCUAUGGGUUGUAAACUUCUUUUAUAAAGGAAUAAAACGAGGCACGUGUGCCUUUUUGCAUGUACUUUAUGAAUAAGGAUCGGCUAACUCCGUGCCAGCAGCCGCGGUAAUACGGAGGAUCCGAGCGUUAUCCGGAUUUAUUGGGUUUAAAGGGAGCGUAGAUGGGUUGUUAAGUCAGUUGUGAAAGUUUGCGGCUCAACCGUAAAAUUGCAAUUGAUACUGGCAGUCUUGAGUACAGUUGAGGUAGGCGGAAUUCGUGGUGUAGCGGUGAAAGGCUUAGAUAUCACGAAGAACCCCGAUUGCGAAGGCAGCUUACUAAACUGUGACUGACAUUGAUGCUCGAAAGUGUGGGUAUCAAACAGGAUUAGAUACCCGAGUAGUC
This 460-nucleotide ribosomal RNA is filed under the name uncultured bacterium. RNAcentral's name for it is "partial 16S ribosomal RNA". It matches the Rfam family "Bacterial small subunit ribosomal RNA", at positions 338 to 795 of the family's 1533-position model. The record is from RNAcentral.